This 62-nucleotide microRNA precursor is filed under the name Pelobates cultripes (western spadefoot toad). The record is from RNAcentral. Lineage: Eukaryota; Metazoa; Chordata; Amphibia; Anura; Pelobatidae.
UAGUGCUGCAAUGUAAAACAUUGCAGUUCCAGAUAAACUGCAAUGUUUACAUUGCAGCACUA